Molecule: long non-coding RNA, 1688 nt
Organism: Aphis gossypii (cotton aphid)
Lineage: Eukaryota; Metazoa; Arthropoda; Insecta; Hemiptera; Aphididae
Exons: 4
Source: RefSeq, a predicted model, not a curated record
AAAACCGUUGACGUCAUCACCGUCGCGGGCAGCGCGAUCUGGCGGACGGUAACUACACAUACGUAGAUUGCAUAAUAAUAAUAAUAAUAAUUACAUAGUUAAGUUUAGUCAGGUAUAUUAAAAUAAGUAUUAUGUACGACGAAAGUCCAGGAAGAGAACCUAUGAGUUACGAAACGUUAUUUACUUGUACUGUACACAAUAUGUACGCACAGUGUUUCCAUAACAAUACGUAAUAUUUAUGUUUUUGAUUGAUAGGUAAUUUAAAUGAAAAAUGAUUGGUAUUUAUUACGAUUAAAUACAUACAAUCUGAAAGCCGUUUAUUAUCGGCCGAUCGCGAUGUGCAAUCUGUAUAUCUUAAUCGUGGUAUUUAUUAUUUAUUCCAGUGUUUCACGAAAAAAAAUAUUUCAACGAUCGACUUGUUCGUCGAACACAGAAUUGAUUUCAAAUGAUCUGUUUGGCUUAUCUUUUUGUGUCUUUUUUAUAUUUUUUUUUUUGUGAGUGCGAAUUUAUUAUUGAAUAAUUGCUACCGGAUAAGUAACAUUGACCUAUUACAGCUGCAUACGCCACACACCAAUAGAUGUCGCUUCUGUAAUGUGUCAGAAAUCGAAAUAGAAUAUACAGCGAAGUCAGGCCUUGAGGAAACGCGGAACUCUCUUUCUCUAUAAAACGGUCACCAAAAAAAAAAAAAGACUGAAGACACUAAAGACCACUGAUUGUUGAUAAUAGUAUGUUCUUCGAUGGCUGAAGUAUGAAAAAAAUGUAUAGAUUCUUUAUAAUCAGUUAUCGUUCGGGACAUCAUUUUUUUUUUUAUAUAAAAGGCUUUUGUGAAAAUAUGAUGUUCGAUUGAGGAAUACUGUCCUCCACCCACCAUUAGAGAAGAUGAGUCAAAGAAUCAGGGACAAAAGGUCCCAGUCAAUAACAAGUCAUCCCUAGUGCACCGCUAAUGAUGGCGGUACUAGCCUAGGGAUUACACCCGGAGUUAUUGGGAGACAUGCUUCCGUUGUAAAAAUCGGAUAAUGAUGUGCUUUUUUUGGGGACCCGGGUGCUGAGACUACCGAUAUAAUUGGACCGUGAAAUACGCAGAGAUAACAAGCUAUAUGAAAUGGCUGGUUUGACAAUAUUUGACGAAUAAUGGAAGUUUGGAACGGCUUGGAGAGCUAAUCUACACAGUUGACUAAUACUAAUGAUUUAUACCGAUUUUGAUUACAAAAUUGUGUCAAUCGUAUCGUUUCGGUAUGGUGAAGAUAAAAGAUUGACUAAAUAUAAAAAAAAAAAAACAGUUUAUGUGAUUUACAUAAUUUUCCUGAGCUCUUGUGGAUUUUUUGGAUAGUUUUGAAUUAGCGAGUUAGAAUUUAGAACUUGCUGGAAAGCUUUUUUGUUAAGGAUUUUCUAUGAAAAACCUUGGAAUUAUCAAGCAUACGCAUGAAAAUACUGCAAUACUAUAUAGAUUUCAUCACAAAUCAAAAAAUGAAUAUGAUGAUUGGCUCAAUGCGUUUCCCAUUUGUUUUACUAUUCAUAUUAUUAUACUCAGAGUUUCGUAGAAUAAUUAUGUUGGUGUGUUGUCGACGAAAUAAAUUUGGUUUCAAGGCAAAACUAUCUGCACAUUGUAUUCAUAGUAAUCUAGAAGAAGCAUUUAUAAAUCUUACUUAAUUAAGAUAUAACAAUAAAUUUAUAAUUUCACAAAAUAA